This 478-nucleotide ribosomal RNA is filed under the name uncultured bacterium. Its description in RNAcentral is "partial 16S ribosomal RNA". It matches the Rfam family "Bacterial small subunit ribosomal RNA", at positions 28 to 523 of the family's 1533-position model. The record is from RNAcentral.
GACGAACGCUGGCGGCGUGCUUAACACAUGCAAGUCGAACGGUAAGGCCCUUCGGGGUACACGAGUGGCGAACGGGUGAGUAACACGUGGGUGAUCUGCCCUGCACUUCGGGAUCAGACUGGGAAACUGGGUCUAAUACCGGAAAGGACUCCUGGCUUCAUGGUAGGGGGGGGACAGCUUUUGGGGUCUGGGAUGGGCCCGGGGCCGGUCGGCUUGUUGGUGGGGUAAUGGGCUACCAAGGCGACGAAGGGUAGCCGGCCUGGGAGAGUAACCGGACACACUGGGACUGAGAUACGGCCCAGACUCCUACGGGAGGCAGCAGUGGGGAAUAUUGCACAAUGGGCGCAAGCCUGAUGCAGCGACGCCGCGUGAGGGAUGACGGCCUUCGGGUUGUAAACCUCUUUCAGCUAUGACGAAGCGCAAGUGACGGUAGUAGCAGAAGAAGGACCGGCCAACUACGUGCCAGCAGCCGCAGUAA